Non-coding RNA from Pelobates cultripes (western spadefoot toad), 301 nucleotides. NCBI's taxonomy places the organism in Eukaryota, Metazoa, Chordata, Amphibia, Anura, Pelobatidae. The record is from the annotation of a GenBank genome assembly.
UUAAAAAAGACUGGACAUACCCCACUUGCAAUACCUUGGGUUGUUUUCUUUUGUAAAUGGUAUUCCAUCAAGGGAUAAUUCUCAUUCCUGGGCUACUAUAUGUGAAAAAAAAUGAAAGGGAAGCCUUAUAUUUGACUCUCUAACUUUCCAAAACACCAUAAAACCUGUACAUGGGGGUACUGCUAUUUCACUGAACACAAAUAUUAAUGUUUCAAAACAGUAAAACAUAUUACAGCAAUAAUAUCAUCCAUGAAAGUGCCAUUUGUGUGUGAUAAAUAAACAUUACUUUCACUGACGAUAU